UUAGGGCGUGGGGUCUUCGCUUUGUGAUAGCUUAUGCUCCUCCUCUCAGGAGCAAUGAAGCUUACUGCAGAAGGAUCCUGAUCGUGUGCCGCGUCAUUCUUGCGGGCGAGAUAGAGCGCGGGACACCUCCCCCCUUAUCUUUUCCUAUACCUCUUUAUCUGGCCCUCCAAAAUCUCAAUGGCUAAUUCUGGUUUAGCUUUAUUAGCAGUGUAGGAUUGUCAGGAUGAACGGAUGUCCCACAACACAGGUGUUUGGGAUUUAACCUUUCACACAGUGCUUGGGCCCUGGACCCUCCCAAUUCAGGGAGGCGGCGAGAUAAGUACAAAGAAUAUGCAAUGUAACCAGCCAACUCACACUCCUGCUGCUGUGACUUCCCCGCCAUGAUAGACUGUACCCCUGAACCGGGAGCCAACAUGAAGCCUUUUUUCUUUCCUUGUUCUGUUUCAAAGAAGUAAAACCAAGGCAAAUGGCCAGUAGUUAUCUAGAGA
Molecule: long non-coding RNA, 488 nt
Organism: Mesocricetus auratus (golden hamster)
Lineage: Eukaryota; Metazoa; Chordata; Mammalia; Rodentia; Cricetidae
Exons: 2
Source: RefSeq, a predicted model, not a curated record